CAGUCGCCGCGGGAAUACGAAGGGGGCUAGCGUUGCUCGGAUUUACUGGGCGUAAAGGGCGCGUAGGCGGACAGUUAAGUUGGGGGUGAAAGCCCGGGGCUCAACCUCGGAAUUGCCUUCAAUACUGGCUGUCUUGAGUGUGAGAGAGGUGUGUGGAACUCCGAGUGUAGAGGUGAAAUUCGUAGAUAUUCGGAAGAACACCAGUGGCGAAGGCGACACACUGACUCACUACUGACGCUGAGGCGCGAAAGCGUGGGGAGCAAACAGGAUUAGAUACCCCGGUAGUCCCUGUCUCUUAUAA
Molecule: ribosomal RNA, 301 nt
Filed under: uncultured bacterium
Lineage: Bacteria
Description: partial 16S ribosomal RNA
Rfam family: Bacterial small subunit ribosomal RNA
Source: RNAcentral